AUUGAACGCUGGCGGCAUGCCUUACACAUGCAAGUCGAACGGUAACAGGUUAAGCUGCCGAGUGGCGAACGGGUGAGUAAUGUAUCGGAACGUGCCCAGUCGUGGGGGAUAACUGCUCGAAAGAGCAGCUAAUACUGCAUACGACCUGAGGGUGAAAGCGGGGGAUCGCAAGACCUCGCGCGAUUGGAGCGGCCGAUAUCAGAUUAGGUAGUUGGUGAGGUAAAGGCUCACCAAGCCGACGAUCUGUAGCUGGUCUGAGAGGACGACCAGCCACACUGGGACUGAGACACGGCCCAGACUCCUACGGGAGGCAGCAGUGGGGAAUUUUGGACAAUGGGCGCAAGCCUGAUCCAGCCAUGCCGCGUGCGGGAAGAAGGCCUUCGGGUUGUAAACCGCUUUUGUCAGGGAAGAAAAGGUUCUGGCUAAUACCUGGGACUCAUGACGGUACCUGAAGAAUAAGCACCGGCUAACUACGUG
RNAcentral lists this ribosomal RNA (477 nucleotides) under uncultured bacterium. Its description in RNAcentral is "partial 16S ribosomal RNA". It matches the Rfam family "Bacterial small subunit ribosomal RNA", at positions 30 to 507 of the family's 1533-position model. The record is from RNAcentral.